GUGCUCACUCCUCUUGGCAGCACAUAUUCCGAAAUUGGAACAAACACAGAGAAGAUUAGUGUCCCUGCACAAGGAUGACGUAAAUUUAAGUGUUCCAUAUUUUG
RNAcentral lists this small nuclear RNA (104 nucleotides) under Mus spicilegus (steppe mouse). The record is from RNAcentral. Lineage: Eukaryota; Metazoa; Chordata; Mammalia; Rodentia; Muridae.